Molecule: ribosomal RNA, 495 nt
Filed under: uncultured bacterium
Lineage: Bacteria
Description: partial 16S ribosomal RNA
Rfam family: Bacterial small subunit ribosomal RNA
Source: RNAcentral
GACGAACGCUGGCGGCGUGCCUAAUACAUGCAAGUAGAACGCUGAAGGAGGAGCUUGCUUCUCUGGAUGAGUUGCGAACGGGUGAGUAACGCGUAGGUAACCUGCCUGGUAGCGGGGGAUAACUAUUGGAAACGAUAGCUAAUACCGCAUAAGAGUAGAUGUUGCAUGACAUUUGCUUAAAAGGUGCAAUUGCAUCACUACCAGAUGGACCUGCGUUGUAUUAGCGAGUUGGUGGGGUAACGGCUCACCAAGGCGACGAUACAGAGCCGACCUGAGAGGGGGGUCGGCCACCCUGGGACUGUGACCCGGCCCAGUCUCCUUCGGGAGGCAGCCGUAGGGAAUCUUCGGGCAUGGGCGGAAGUCUGAGCGCGCAACGCCGCGUGAGUGAAGAAGGUUUUCGGGUCGUAAAGCUCUGUUGUAAGGGAAGAACGAGUGUGAGAGUGGAAAGUUCACACUGUGACGGUAUCUUACCAGAAAGGGACGGCUAACUACGUG